GGGCUUGCGUCUGAUUAGCUAGUUGGUUGGGUAAUGGCCCACCAAGGCGAUGAUCAGUAGCUGGUCUGAGAGGACAACCAGCCAGACAGGGACUGAGACACGGGCCUGACUCCUACGGGAGGCAGCAGCAAGGAAUUUUGCGCAAUGGGCGAAAGCCUGACGCAGCGACGCCGCGUGGGGGAUGAAGGCCUUCGGGUCGUAAACCCCUUUUCCCGAGGAAGUGACGGUACUCGGGGAAUACGUCUUGGCUAACUACGUGCCAGCAGCCGCGGUAAUACGUAGGAGGCGAACGUUAUUCGGAUUUACUGGGCGUAAAGCGGGCGUAGGCGGCUUCUUAAGUCUUGUGUGAAAUCCUACGGCUUAACCGUAGAACUGCAUGAGAAACUGUUAAUCUAGAGUGUGAAAGAGGCAGGUGGAAUUAGUGGUGUAGGGGUAAAAUCCGUAGAU
Molecule: ribosomal RNA, 447 nt
Filed under: uncultured bacterium
Lineage: Bacteria
Description: partial 16S ribosomal RNA
Rfam family: Bacterial small subunit ribosomal RNA
Source: RNAcentral